This 267-nucleotide ribosomal RNA is filed under the name uncultured bacterium. RNAcentral's name for it is "partial 16S ribosomal RNA". It matches the Rfam family "Bacterial small subunit ribosomal RNA", at positions 793 to 1055 of the family's 1533-position model. The record is from RNAcentral.
GUCCACGCUGUAAACGAUGGGCGCUAGGUGUGGGGGGUUUUUAAUCCCUCCGUGCCGCAGCUAACGCAUUAAGCGCCCCGCCUGGGGAGUACGGCCGCAAGGUUAAAACUCAAAGGAAUUGACGGGGCCCGCACAAGCGGUGGAGCAUGUGGUUUAAUUCGACGCAACGCGAAGAACCUUACCUGGGCUUGACAUCUGGGGAAUCUCAUGGAAACAUGGGAGUGCUUAGCAAUAAGAACCCCAAGACAGGUGCUGCAUGGCUGUCGU